RNAcentral lists this ribosomal RNA (426 nucleotides) under uncultured bacterium. Its description in RNAcentral is "bacterial SSU rRNA". It matches the Rfam family "Bacterial small subunit ribosomal RNA", at positions 356 to 773 of the family's 1533-position model. The record is from RNAcentral.
GAGGAAUAUUGCGCAAUGGGGGCAACCCUGACGCAGCAACGCCGCGUGAGUGAGGAAGGUUUUCGGACCGUAAAGCUCUGUCGAGCGGGAAGAAAUGCAUGGUGGCUAAUAUCCAUCAUGCUUGACGGUACCGCUAAAGGAAGCACCGGCUAACUCCGUGCCAGCAGCCGCGGUAAUACGGGGGGUGCGAGCGUUGUUCGGAAUUAUUGGGCGUAAAGAGCGUGUAGGCGGCCGAAUAAGUCAGAUGUGAAAUCCCUGGGCUUAACCCAGGACGUGCAUUUGAAACUAUUCGGCUUGAGUAGGGGAGAGGAAAGUGGAAUUCCUGGUGUAGAGGUGAAAUUCGUAGAUAUCAGGAGGAACACCGGUGGCGAAGGCGACUUUCUGGCCCUAUACUGACGCUGAGACGCGAGAGCGUGGGUAGCAAAC